AUUGAACGCUGGCGGCAUGCCUUACACAUGCAAGUCGAACGGCAGCACGGGUGCUUGCACCUGGUGGCGAGUGGCGAACGGGUGAGUAAUACAUCGGAACGUACCUUAUCGUGGGGGAUAACGCAGCGAAAGCUGUGCUAAUACCGCAUACGCACUGAGGGGGAAAGCGGGGGAUCGCAAAACCUCGCGCGAUUAGAGCGGCCGAUGCCUGAUUAGCCUGUUGGUGGGGUAAAAGCCCACCAAGGCGACGAUCAGUAGCUGGUCUGAGAGGACGAUCAGCCACACUGGGACUGAGACACGGCCCAGACUCCUACGGGGGGCAGCAGUGGGGAAUUUUGGACAAUGGGGGCAACCCUGAUCCAGCAAUGCCGCGUGAGUGAAGAAGGCCUUCGGGUUGUAAAGCUCUUUUGUCAGGGAAGAAACACCGGCUCUAACACAGUCUGGGAAUGACGGUACCUGAAGAAUAAGCACCGGCUAACUACGUGCCAGCCGCCGCAGUAA
Molecule: ribosomal RNA, 501 nt
Filed under: uncultured bacterium
Lineage: Bacteria
Description: partial 16S ribosomal RNA
Rfam family: Bacterial small subunit ribosomal RNA
Source: RNAcentral